RNAcentral lists this long non-coding RNA (293 nucleotides) under Hordeum vulgare. Its description in RNAcentral is "long non-coding RNA (HVUL_LNC003885)". Lineage: Eukaryota; Viridiplantae; Streptophyta; Magnoliopsida; Poales; Poaceae. The record is from RNAcentral.
UUUUUAUUAUAUAUAGGGUAAUAUAGUUAGUUUAUUUGGUUAGAUUAUUAGGCUAAUUAGGUUAGUUAGUUAGGUUAGAAGAAAAAAAGAGGAAAAGCAGAAGGAAAAGAAAUGAAAAAUAAAAAAGGAAAAGAAGAAAAUAAUUAGAAGAAGAACGAAAAGAAGAAGGAGGAGAAGAAGAAGAAGAAGAAGAGGAGGAGGAGGAGAAAAAAGAAGAAGAAGAANNNNNNNNNNNNGAAGAAGAAGAAGAAGAAUAAGAGGAGGAGGAGGAGGAGGAGGAGGAAGAGGAGGAG